CCCGGGGUUACUUGCGCCCUCUAUAGAUGAAAGACAGUACCGCCAGUUCUGAGAGUCGCACGGGGGUGCGUACAAAGGGGCCAGGGCGCCGAGAUCACGGAAACAACGGUGCUGGGACCCUGUGCACAGAAGCCAGAUGCCAGACGGGAAUUAAACAUUCGGCCGAGAAAAGCAAUCUAGUUCCCUAGGCUCGACUUUGGCUCACUCCUUGGUCCGCACCAAUCCUCACAUCCCUCACGUCCUCUAACUUUUACGGCUGUAUCCCGAAAUCGCGUCUUUGGUCUCAACGGCUCCAGAAGGCUCGCUCUUCAAGAAAUGUUCCACUACCUUCAGAUAGAUGUGGAUACAUACAUGGUUUUGGCCUAAAGAAAUCUUUGCAAAAAGGGAGAAUACAUACUUGUUCUUUUCCUUGGAUUUACGGAGUGCCAGUAUCAGAGUCUAUUGAGGAGGAGUCUCUGAAAAUGACAGCUGAUGGGUGUAGAGACCCACGCCCGGAAUCUCAGCAACUGAAGUGGCUGAAGCAGGAGCAUGUAGGCAGAGCUCGAACCAGGAAUGAAUGUA
This 561-nucleotide long non-coding RNA is filed under the name Mus pahari (shrew mouse). RNAcentral's name for it is "lncRNA (MGP_PahariEiJ_G0004750.1)". Lineage: Eukaryota; Metazoa; Chordata; Mammalia; Rodentia; Muridae. The record is from RNAcentral.